AUGCAGACCUUAUCCAGCGAGGCCCAGCCUGCCGUGGCUCCGUCCUUUCCUUUAGUGUCUGCUAGAGAGACGAGAGGCCGUUUGAGGCCCUGCCGUGACACUUCGCGGCGGGGUUAUAGGUAGACCUCCGACAUUC
Molecule: small nucleolar RNA, 136 nt
Organism: Cyclopterus lumpus (lumpfish)
Lineage: Eukaryota; Metazoa; Chordata; Actinopteri; Perciformes; Cyclopteridae
Source: Ensembl